GGGGAUUUAGCUCAGUGGCAGAGCGCUUGCCUAGCAAGCGCAAGGCCCUGGGUUCGAUCCCCAGCUCCA
RNAcentral lists this transfer RNA (69 nucleotides) under Rattus norvegicus (Norway rat). It matches the Rfam family "tRNA". From Rfam's summary of the family: Transfer RNA (tRNA) molecules are approximately 80 nucleotides in length. Lineage: Eukaryota; Metazoa; Chordata; Mammalia; Rodentia; Muridae. The record is from Rfam by way of RNAcentral.